GGUGAGGUGGCUGAGCGGUCGAAAGCGGCGCUUUGCUAAAGCGUUGUACCUCAAAAGGGUACCCAGGGUUCGAAUCCCUGCCUCACCGCCA
RNAcentral lists this transfer RNA (91 nucleotides) under Verrucomicrobiota bacterium. RNAcentral's name for it is "Verrucomicrobia bacterium (rhizosphere metagenome) tRNA-Ser". It matches the Rfam family "tRNA". Rfam says of the family: Transfer RNA (tRNA) molecules are approximately 80 nucleotides in length. Their secondary structure includes four short double-helical elements and three loops (D, anti-codon, and T loops). Further hydrogen bonds mediate the characteristic L-shaped molecular structure. tRNAs have two regions of fundamental functional importance: the anti-codon, which is responsible for specific mRNA codon recognition, and the 3' end, to which the tRNAs corresponding amino acid is attached (by aminoacyl-tRNA synthetases). tRNAs cope with the degeneracy of the genetic code in two manners: having more than one tRNA (with a specific anti-codon) for a particular amino acid; and 'wobble' base-pairing, i.e. permitting non-standard base-pairing at the 3rd anti-codon position. The record is from RNAcentral. Lineage: Bacteria; Pseudomonadati; Verrucomicrobiota.